RNAcentral lists this ribosomal RNA (556 nucleotides) under uncultured eukaryote. RNAcentral describes it as "SSU rRNA". It matches the Rfam family "Eukaryotic small subunit ribosomal RNA", at positions 4 to 564 of the family's 1831-position model. The record is from RNAcentral.
CUGGUUGAUCCUGCCAGUAGUCAUAUGCUUGUCUCAAAGAUUAAGCCAUGCAUGUCUCAGUAUAAGCUUCUGUACGGUGAAACUGCGAAUGGCUCAUUAAAACAGUUAUAGUUUAUUUGAUGGUUAUUCAUUACAUGGAUAACUGUGGUAAUUCUAGAGCUAAUACAUGCGCCCAUACCCAACUUCGUGGAAGGGUAGUGUUUAUUAGAUACAGAACCAUCCCAGGCUUGCCUGGUGUUUUGGUGAUUCAUAAUAACUGAAUGAAUCGCAUGCUUCGGCGGCGAUAAAUCAUUCAAGUUUCUGACCUAUCAGCUUCCGACGGUGGGGUAUUGGCCUACCGUGGCAAUGACGGGUAACGGAGAAUUAGGGUUCGAUUCCGGAGAGGGAGCCUGAGAAACGGCUACCACAUCUAAGGAAGGCAGCAGGCGCGCAAAUUACCCAAUUCCGACACGGAGAGGUAGUGACAAGAAAUAACAAUACAGGGCAAAACUGUCUUGUAAUUGGAAUGAGUAGAAUUUAAAUCCCUUUACGAGUACCAAUUGGAGGGCAAGUCUGG